Long non-coding RNA from Acinonyx jubatus (cheetah), 384 nucleotides. RefSeq lists it as uncharacterized. Lineage: Eukaryota; Metazoa; Chordata; Mammalia; Carnivora; Felidae. The record is from RefSeq and is a predicted model, not a curated record. The transcript has 2 exons.
UGCGUGUGUGUGUGUGCAGUGUGUAUAUGAGGGUGUUUUGGGGGGCCAUUCUCUGACUCUGCACCCCAUUUGCUUAUACUGUUACAAGAAAAAGAAACAUACAUUCAUUACUCUCCUUAUUUAUUUGAUUCACCCAUGUAUAGCGCCCCCUCUGGUCGUUGUCUGCCUGGUUGUUGAACGACUUGGCUACCGUUAGAUUCCCCAACAGCAAGAAGUGAGCUCAGAAGAAAUGCAGCCUCUUCGAGGCCGGUGCGCCCCCUCAUCUCCGGUCCCCCCCUGGGCGCUCAACACGUAAGCCUCAACCUCUGGCAUUCCUGCUCUGCAAAGUGCAUCUGUAAGAUGAAUGUCUCGUGGUGGCCCGUAGAAGAAACAUUUUGAGUCGGA